GCUUAAAUAGUUUUAAAAAAAAUUUCAAUUUGUGGAAUUGAGGAUGUUAGUGUAACUUUGAGCA
This 64-nucleotide transfer RNA is filed under the name Thereuonema tuberculata. Its description in RNAcentral is "tRNA-His". Lineage: Eukaryota; Metazoa; Arthropoda; Chilopoda; Scutigeromorpha; Scutigeridae. The record is from RNAcentral.